AUACAGAGGGGGCAAGCGUUGUUCGGAAUUACUGGGCGUAAAGGGCGCGUAGGCGGCCGAUCAAGUCAGAUGUGAAAGUCCUGGGCUUAACCUGGGGACUGCAUUUGAUACUGAUUGGCUUGAAUUCGGGAGAGGAUAGCGGAAUUCCCAGUGUAGAGGUGAAAUUCGUAGAUAUUGGGAAGAACACCGGUGGCGAAGGCGGCUAUCUGGACCGACAUUGACGCUGAGGCGCGAAAGCGUGGGGAGCAAACAGGA
Molecule: ribosomal RNA, 255 nt
Filed under: uncultured prokaryote
Description: partial 16S ribosomal RNA
Rfam family: Bacterial small subunit ribosomal RNA
Source: RNAcentral